This 460-nucleotide ribosomal RNA is filed under the name uncultured bacterium. RNAcentral describes it as "partial 16S ribosomal RNA". It matches the Rfam family "Bacterial small subunit ribosomal RNA", at positions 338 to 795 of the family's 1533-position model. The record is from RNAcentral.
CCUACGGGAGGCAGCAGUGAGGAAUAUUGGUCAAUGGACGAGAGUCUGAACCAGCCAAGUAGCGUGAAGGAUGACUGCCCUAUGGGUUGUAAACUUCUUUUAUAAAGGAAUAAAACGAGGCACGUGUGCCUUUUUGCAUGUACUUUAUGAAUAAGGAUCGGCUAACUCCGUGCCAGCAGCCGCGGUAAUACGGAGGAUCCGAGCGUUGUCCGGAUUUAUUGGGUUUAAAGGGAGCGUAGAUGGGUUGUUAAGUCAGUGGUGAAAGUAUGCGGCUCAACCGUAAAAUUGCAAGUGAUACUGGCAGUCUUGAGUACAGUUGAGGUAGGCGGAAUUCGUGGUGUAGCGGUGAAAUGCUUAGAUAUCACGAAGAACCCCGAUUGCGAAGGCAGCUUACUAAACUGUGACUGACAUUGAGGCGCGAAAGUGUGGGGAUCAAACAGGAUUAGAUACCCUUGUAGUC